RNAcentral lists this ribosomal RNA (422 nucleotides) under uncultured prokaryote. RNAcentral's name for it is "bacterial SSU rRNA". It matches the Rfam family "Bacterial small subunit ribosomal RNA", at positions 355 to 774 of the family's 1533-position model. The record is from RNAcentral.
UGAGGAAUAUUGGUCAAUGGGCGAGAGCCUGAACCAGCCAAGUCGCGUGAAGGAAGAAGGUUCUAUGGAUUGUAAACUUCUUUUGUAAGGGAAUAAAAAAGAGUACGUGUACUCUAUUGUAUGUACUUUACGAAUAAGGAUCGGCUAACUCCGUGCCAGCAGCCGCGGUAAUACGGAGGAUCCGAGCGUUAUCCGGAUUUAUUGGGUUUAAAGGGUGCGUAGGCGGACUUAUAAGUCAGCGGUGAAAGUUUGCAGCUUAACUGUAAAAUUGCCGUUGAAACUGUUAGUCUUGAGUGUAAAUGAGGUAGGCGGAAUGUGUUGUGUAGCGGUGAAAUGCUUAGAUAUAACACAGAACACCAAUUGCGAAGGCAGCUUACUGGGAUACAACUGACGCUGAGGCACGAAAGCGUGGGGAUCAAACA